RNAcentral lists this ribosomal RNA (312 nucleotides) under uncultured eukaryote. RNAcentral describes it as "partial 18S ribosomal RNA". It matches the Rfam family "Eukaryotic small subunit ribosomal RNA", at positions 1470 to 1796 of the family's 1831-position model. The record is from RNAcentral.
CCCUUAGAUGUCCUGGGCCGCACGCGUGCUACACUGAUGCAUACAGCGAGCACUUCCCGGCCCCGAAAGGCGGCUGGUAAUCAGCAAUAUGCAUCGUGAUGGGGAUAGUUCUUUGGAAUUCUUGAACUUGAACGAGGAAUGCCUAGUAGGCGCACGUCAUUACCGUGCGUCGAUUAAGUCCCUGCCCUUUGUACACACCGCCCGUCGCUCCUACCGAUUCGAGUGAUCCGGUGAACCCUUUGGACCGAGGCAGCUUGCUGUUUUGGAAAAUCGAGUAAACCACGUCACUUAGAGGAAGGAGAAGUCGUANCA